This is a long non-coding RNA of Schistocerca piceifrons (Central American locust), 1368 nucleotides long. RefSeq lists it as uncharacterized. The record is from RefSeq and is a predicted model, not a curated record. Lineage: Eukaryota; Metazoa; Arthropoda; Insecta; Orthoptera; Acrididae. The transcript is spliced from 2 exons.
CCGACAUGAAGGUGCUCACGCUGUUGGUCGCCAUCGCAGUCUUGGUGGCGUCUGCAAGAGGACAGAUGUUCGUGGAGAACGGCAGCAAAUGGAUCAGCAACCCCUACCCAGAGAUGCCGCCCAGCUGCUGCAGGAGGUCGGCCGUGGAGGUGUGCAGCCGCACGUCGGCCCAGCUGGGCUGGCCCUUCGACCCCGGCUGCGCGCUCAGCUGCAGCAUGCAGCGCGGCGGCGGCCCUCCGGGGUACUUCGAGUGCCGCGACUCCGUCUGCCUGUGCUACCUCUGAACAGCCCCACAGCCAACUCUGGCUUCCUCUCUUCCUACCGUACUCCAACACCUCAGCACUGAACAAGGUUUGUCUGUACCUUCGGCCGUAACUAGAUACUAGUACACUGGACACGACGUCAUUUUCGUGGCUCAAACAUCUCUCGGCUGAAACCACGUGACUGCUGGCAAGACGUGGUUGUUUCGUGUUGUGCUUACGGGUUUUCAGAAAGCUUCGUUGCCUGUGGCGGCAUUACAUUUCAUGUCAAAGUAUUGAUAUGCCAAUGAAAAUGUCUCUACUAAAAAUUGAAGGGCAAAGACAGCGUUUAGAGCCGCUGAAACGCAAGGACGUUAAGCCAAUUUUCCACUAGCGCAUUUGCGCAAAACACUCUCAGGAAAAAUGUUAUGACAGGCCAAAGGAGGGAGUUGGCUUUGCAGUGAUGCUGUUCCAACGCUUUUCUAUUUUCCUGAGCAUAUUACGAGGAAGAAACAGUGUUAAAUGCUCCUUCUUGUUUGCAUUUCUCUAGCUUUCGCGGACAACAAUAUCAACUGUUUGUUUUCAUUUAUAAUUGACCAGAGAUUUAAAAAAAAUCCGCGCAUACAACGUUUUUAGUUCAGACACGAACUCACUAUUAUUUCUUACAAGAAUUUUAGUUCAUUUGCCAUAAUUGAUAUUUUAUCGAGUAAUUUCGUCUCGAUAACCACUCAAGUGGCGUCUUAUGUAUUUGUUAGGCUUUUAUAACUGCAACAGCAACAGAUGCAGGUCAACUGUAGCUCUGGUUUAAUUUAUCACAGAAGAAAAAAUAAGUUUUUGUAAGAAUUACGCAGCAUUUCAUUAAGAAACUUGGGAAAAAUAGGAUACAAAUAUCGGGAGGCAAAUUCCUGAUCUGAAAUCUCGCCGACAUUUUGCCGAAGUCACGUGGUUUUAUGUCUGAGACACUCCAAGCACAUAACCUCUGUACAUCAAGCCCAGUCUGCUAGUUGUCUAUGGUCGAAGGUCUGUACAUCAGACGUUCUGCUUUCACAGUUUGUACUGUUUGUGCAAAAUUAAUGUAAAGUGCAGUAUUUGACAGUAAAUGUACACUUUGAGAGUUUAUAAUCAAAAA